GUGUCAGCAGCCGCGGUAAUACGAAGGGGGCUAGCGUUGCUCGGAAUCACUGGGCGUAAAGGGCGCGUAGGCGGCCGGCCAAGUCGGGGGUGAAAGCCUGUGGCUCAACCACAGAAUGGCCCUCGAUACUGGCUGGCUCGAGACCGGAAGAGGUUGGUGGAAUUGCGAGUGUAGAGGUGAAAUUCGUAGAUAUUCGCAAGAACACCGGUGGCGAAGGCGGCCAACUGGUCCGGAUCUGACGCUGAGGCGCGAAAGCGUGGGGAGCAAACAGGAUUAGAUACCCUGGUAGUCCACGCCGUAAACGAUGGAUGCCAGCCGUUGGCGCGCUUGCGCGUCAGUGGCGCAGCUAACGCUUUAAGCAUCCCGCCUGGGGAGUACGGUCGCAAGAUUAAA
RNAcentral lists this ribosomal RNA (393 nucleotides) under uncultured bacterium. Its description in RNAcentral is "bacterial SSU rRNA". It matches the Rfam family "Bacterial small subunit ribosomal RNA", at positions 505 to 898 of the family's 1533-position model. The record is from RNAcentral.